RNAcentral lists this ribosomal RNA (253 nucleotides) under uncultured bacterium. Its description in RNAcentral is "partial 16S ribosomal RNA". It matches the Rfam family "Bacterial small subunit ribosomal RNA", at positions 524 to 776 of the family's 1533-position model. The record is from RNAcentral.
UACAGAGGUCUCAAGCGUUGUUCGGAUUCAUUGGGCGUAAAGGGUGCGUAGGUGGCGGGGUAAGUCAGGUGUGAAAUUUCGGAGCUUAACUCCGAAACUGCAUUUGAUACUGCCUUGCUUGAGGACUGGAGAGGAGACUGGAAUUCACGGUGUAGCAGUGAAAUGCGUAGAUAUCGUGAGGAAGACCAGUGGCGAAGGCGGGUCUCUGGACAGUUCCCGACACUGAGGCACGAAGGCCAGGGGAGCAAACGGG